RNAcentral lists this microRNA (23 nucleotides) under Capitella teleta. RNAcentral describes it as "cte-miR-2g". Its record names the gene cte-miR-2g. The record is from miRBase by way of RNAcentral. Lineage: Eukaryota; Metazoa; Annelida; Polychaeta; Capitellidae.
UAUCACAGACCGCUUGGAUCACA